This 267-nucleotide unclassified non-coding RNA is filed under the name Hevea brasiliensis (rubber tree). The record is from RNAcentral. Lineage: Eukaryota; Viridiplantae; Streptophyta; Magnoliopsida; Malpighiales; Euphorbiaceae.
GACUCCUUUGGCAAGUUACACUCUGGCAAAUACACCUUAAAUGUGUGGUUUAAUUGAGCCCAAUCCAAAUAUUCACAUACAAGUGCAGUUAGUAACCUUCCUGAAGGUGAAUUAUGGAGUUGUUUUGCCUGAUCAUUGCAGCUACCCAAUAGCGCAGGGGGCAAGGUUUCAUCCUUCUCAAUUACCCUAUCCUCAUCUUCAAUUGCCUCAAAAACGCUUGCUCUAAGUUCAGCUCGGAUCUUAGCGAGAACGCCUUUCUUCUCUAGG